CUUAAUUGCGUGUCAGCCCAGAGGCGUAGGAACUGCACUUGCUAGAAAAUGUGGCCAAGGAGACUGGUACAGAGACUGUUUACUCAUGAACCCAGGAAAAGAACAUCCUGUCUGAAAGGUGACUAAACAAAGAAAAGAAGAAAAGCCAAAUCUUACCUGCCAGCAGAUAUUCCCACAGAUGGUUCCUACCAGUGUUUGUAGAUGCUCAGAGUAAAUGAAUACAAGAUCCUCACUAAAUCUCAGUGAGUUCAUCUGACAGAGAAGACAGUCUCAUCCAGCACAUGAAUACUCCAACCCUGAACCGCUUCACUGUGCCUGGAACAACUCACAGAGAAGAAGAGUCAGUCAUGGCAGCAACUGCUUAUGGCCCAGGCUUCUCCUAUGGCAAUUAUCUCCUAACCCCUUGGAGAGGAGCAAAAGUGAAUCAGACAAGACUGAGAGAGUCGACUAAAUGUCCUAAGAAUGUACUUGGUAAGAACACAAAUGAGUAAGAAACCCACUGUGAGAACAAACCUUGCAUACCCAUUCCGCAUCAAAGAACCAGAGACAGAUAAUUCACUUCAGCUGUCAGAAGCUUUCAGGGAUUGCUGUGAAAAUUUCAGGCCUGAGAAGGGGAAUGAAUGAGAUCCAGUAACACGACAUACCUCUUCAGGGCAGGAAGCAUUUGUACCCACUGGAGCUUUGGGGAGAAUUUUAAUUUACAAGAGUGUAAUAAGAGAAACUGGAAUUUGUCCAGCCACUAGGGAUUAAUACCAUUAAUCUUAAUAAAAUUCCAUAACACUUUCUGUAAUGCAGAUAAGUUCUUUGAAGUAGGUUUAAACCCAAAGACUUUGGCUAGAAAUGUGGAAAGAGAAGGUGUAAAGAAUUUGGCAGAAGAGUUUAUUACACAGAAGGCAUUGAAUUGUAGAAUAUGAUGCCUUUGGCAAGCACAGUAAUAAGCAAUUGCCAUAUGCAAAGAAUUGUGAAGGGAAGUAAUUUACCAGCAACAACAAAAGUCCCUGUAAAUGAAGCCAUGAUGCAGAUCAAAGAAGAACCUUCUGCUUUGUAUUUCCUGGCUGCAGAGAAGCAGACGUUGCAGCAUGUUAUCUGUAUCAGAUCUCCAAACCAUUACAACUGCAUCUAUCCCAGGUUAUUUAGUGAUUAUAACUAGCAGUCUGGAUUGAGUGUGACACAAGCUAUCAAAACCUUAGGUAAAACUUUAAAGUCGCAUGUUUUCUCCAAUGGCUCAUGAAUUAAUGCAAUGUUGGUAUCAUCCCUCGGCUGUGAAACUGUUCAAAAAAUUAGCUGGCUUUGGCAGUUUCUAUCUCAGCAUGCCAGGUUUUUGGGAUCCUUUUGCUUAAAAAUCUGCCUUGGACUGCAUGAGAUGGCUACUCAAGAGCUCCAGACCCUAUCAGUCAGCAUAGCACCUGGAAGUUACACAUGUGACUGUCGAAGCUGUUUGCUGUUCUACCCCUACAUGAAUCACUGACAAAUAUCCAGGGAGUCCAUGGUGACAUGAGGGAUAAUAUCAAUUUCCAUGGGAUUUUGUAGAGAAAAUUGAAGAAAUGUUAAAAGAAAGCAUUGCUAAACAGAGCACCAAGAGCUCUCUGAGAUCUCUAGUGAGCCAUUUUAAGUGCUUUUAGACAAGUGAAAUUGCUGGGGAAAUUGAGAGUAAUUUGAACACCUCAAAAAUGCAACAUUUAAUUGAGCUGCUACUGAUUGUGCGUCAUGGUCUCCUUUGUGUUUCAUCAGAACCCCAGGAGAGGCAUGCUCAUGUGUGGUCUCAUUAGCAGAUUGACUGCUUUUGCUCUGUGUUUUGUUGCUCAUCAAUUCCCAUGGGAACAUAUUGCUGUUUGGAGAGCUCUAGAGAGAGUUUGGGGUUUUUCAAAGACAGCGCAUUCUUUACCUUGGUAGCCCCUAUUCUUUGUGAUGGGCAGUACUGAAAGAAAAGUUUUUCUUUGCUAAUCCAGUUGUAUGCUUCUCUGCGGGCAGCAGUGAAUCUUUGAAUCAAAUAAUUCCAUGCUAUGGAGUUAUUAAGGGUUUGGGACAGACCAGCUGCAGACUUAUAAGCAGUUCUCUUAGAGUAGGUAUAACCAUAUUCUACUUUCAUACUGGCAACGAUGCCAAAUAUCUUCCUAAUCACUCCCUGGUGCAAAUUUCCUUACAUUUUUGCUUUUCAGAGUUUAAGACACAGGGCAAAUAAACCUGUGGGACUUCAAAACUGACAGCCAGAUAUUUGGCUGAUGCUUUUCCAUAUUUUGACAUUUUAAGUUGUAGGAAACGAGGAAAUCAAAUACACACUUGAUCCAGAUAAUCUGUAUGCAGCCAUCUCAAAUAAGGUGGCUGAAGAGCUCUCCAGAUGUUAGAUGAAAGAAGGCAAUAAAACUUAAAAAAUUGGGAAAAUUUUUGACAGCAGUAAGAUGCUUUUUUGAAAUUAUAAGCAGUGAGCCAAGAAAGUAGCUAGAUGUCAAUCCCAGCCCACAAAAUGGACUAGCAAAAUCUUUCACUGAAGAAUGACGAUAUACUUACCAAUCUAAUUGCAAGAAAAUUGAUUUCACUUACUGACAACCCACUUUAACAGAUUACUUCUGUGAUUAAUAAGGAAAACACUGUUAAGGUAACACAUUUCAUUUUCUCUGGAAGCAUUAGUCACUCUGCAUUACUAUGGCUCAAUAGUGCCAUGUAAUACAGACCACAUUCAAUCAGUAUGGUCCAUAUUAACUGGACUGAAAAACACACAGAUGACAGAUGUUGAAAUAUUGGUCAUCAUUAAAGAAGGAUAUUUACAAUGAAGCCUUCCACGGAUUGGUUUAUCCACACAGCAUUUAACAUAGGAUUUAUUAGUGAUCUGACAUAAAGUGCAGAAUACUUAAAAAGUAAAAGUUGCAGAUAACUGGAUACCAAUAAAUGCGAGCAUGGUCGCUAACACAUACCAAGCAGGGCUGGCAGCUAAAAUGGUAAUUCAAUAUACGCUAGCUUUACUGGAUUUGAAUCAGUGUUUGAAGAGGCCACAGGUCAUUUGCAGUCUGGUGCUUAAACUGAAAGCUGGGCACUGAAAGCACAUUUGUUCAAUAAAGGAAAAAGAAACACAGCAAACAGGAUACCACAGAAUUAUAUUUAUGUUGUACAUUUGUCUUCACAUUGCAACAUCCACAUUGUUCAUUUUGUGACAAGUAUUUCUAAUAAUUUUGAAUACAUAUUUACUAUAUAAUACAUUUUACCAAGAGGCACUUCCAGUAAUUCUGGCAAAAAGGAGCUUCAUUAUAGUGUCUAACUUACAAAACAGUAAAAAUAAAUAAUGUUUAUCUAAAA
Molecule: long non-coding RNA, 3291 nt
Organism: Strigops habroptila (Kakapo)
Lineage: Eukaryota; Metazoa; Chordata; Aves; Psittaciformes; Psittacidae
Exons: 4
Source: RefSeq, a predicted model, not a curated record